This 668-nucleotide long non-coding RNA is filed under the name Cavia porcellus (domestic guinea pig). RNAcentral describes it as "lncRNA (ENSCPOG00000037346.1)". The record is from RNAcentral. Lineage: Eukaryota; Metazoa; Chordata; Mammalia; Rodentia; Caviidae.
GUUUGAGUCAGAAUGUGAAAAGAAUCUCCGUGGCACGGAAACAAAGCAGAUGCCAGAGGAAAUGAUUGGUGGCAGUGAGAAUCGAUGAUUGUCUCACGUGACAGAUUAUCAAAGGCGAGAGGACUGUAAGUCAGCUAAGGGGAUGACAAGGACGGCGCCUUUCUGUAGGAUGGGAGGGCGCCGGCCUGCUGUCCCAGGACUGGGGGAAACACGCUGGGCACGGACCAGGGAAGACAAGCGGAGCCCGCAGGUGGAGGGACAAUGACCAGGAGCAGCGACGGAGGUGGACGUGGGGAGGUUAACGGAGGGAGGAGCCCAGGCUUGAAUUGGCCACUUUCUCCCUUAAAAUUGAAAAUUGACUCAUGUGAGGGAGGAAGCAGAGGCGUGGGCGGUUAAGGAGAGAGGGGAGGUCAGGACCCACAUGCACAGGCCACAGCGCAGCACCGGGGCACAGCUGCAGCGGGGACCCCUCCCCCAGCCAAGCCCGGCAGUCCGCUCUGGAAGCAAGAAGAAGGACCGUGGGAUUUGUCCAGGGUCUCUCGGAUGCCGGACGUGGUGGUGCAUGCCUGUGUCCCAGAACUAGGGAGCUGAGGAAGGAGGAUCACUUUGAAUCAAAGGCCAGCCUGGUCUACAUGGUGAGUUCAAGGCUAGCCUGAACUACAUAGCGA